CUAUAACCCUUUGUGAACAUACCUAUAACUGUUGCUUCGGCGGGCAGGGUCUCCGUGACCCUCCCGGCCUCCCGCCCCCGGGCGGGUCGGCGCCCGCCGGAGGAUAACCAAACUCUGAUUUAACGACGUUUCUUCUGAGUGGUACAAGCAAAUAAUCAAAACUUUUAACAACGGAUCUCUUGGUUCUGGCAUCGAUGAAGAACGCAGCGAAAUGCGAUAAGUAAUGUGAAUUGCAGAAUUCAGUGAAUCAUCGAAUCUUUGAACGCACAUUGCGCCCGCCAGCAUUCUGGCGGGCAUGCCUGUUCGAGCGUCAUUUCAACCCUCAAGCUCUGCUUGGUGUUGGGGCCCUACAGCUGAUGUAGGCCCUCAAAGGUAGUGGCGGACCCUCCCGGAGCCUCCUUUGCGUAGUAACUUUACGUCUCGCACUGGGAUCCGGAGGGACUCUUGCCGUAAAACCCCCCAAUUUUCCAAAGGUUGACCUCGGAUCAGGUAGGAAUACCCGCUGAACUUAAGCAUAUCAAUAAGCGGAGGAAAAGAAACCAACAGGGAUUGCCUCAGUAA
Molecule: ribosomal RNA, 561 nt
Filed under: fungal endophyte
Lineage: Eukaryota; Fungi
Description: eukaryotic LSU rRNA
Rfam family: 5.8S ribosomal RNA (bases 160-313)
Source: RNAcentral